Triticum aestivum (bread wheat) is the source of this 135-nucleotide non-coding RNA. Lineage: Eukaryota; Viridiplantae; Streptophyta; Magnoliopsida; Poales; Poaceae. The record is from Rfam.
AAGGUACUCCCUUCGUCCCAAAAUUCUUGUCUUAGAUUUGUCAAGAUAUGGAUGUAUCAAGUCACAUUUUAGUAUUAGAUAUAUCUGUAUCUACACAAAUCUAAGACAAGAAAUUUGGGACAGAGGGAGUAGUUG